UAUCCAAACACGUAUGUCCAAACAAUUGUGGUAAAAGCUACAAGUAUCCAAGAGGCCUUUGGCAGCACUAUAACUUCGAAUGUGGCGUUGAGUCCAAGUAUAAGUGCCCCUAUUGCAAUUAUGCAGGAAAACAAAAUAUCCAUUUAAAAACUCAUAUGAGAACCAGGCAUAAUAUAAACAUUCUUUAGAAAAAAUAUGUUUCGCUGUCCGAAUAAUUGUGGUCGAAGCUAUAAAUAUUCCAGAAACUUAAGACAGCAUAUUGCCAACGAGUGUGGAGUAGAGUCAAAAUUUAAAUGUUUGCACUGUUCCUAUGCAGGAAAGCAACAUGCUCAUCUGAAAUCACAUAUGCAUAGAAUUCAUAGGAUUGGACCGUAUUCAUAGGAGCAGACAGUACUGAAGGUUUUACUAUGCAGAUCGUGUUAUCGUGAGCUACGUAUUACCGAAAAUAAUGGCAACACCGCUUGAUUGCGGCUUGCAGGCGGCGGAAUUUUUCGUUUUUAUUUUUUGAACCGGGAGUCAGCACACCUCACUUUGCUGUGUUACUGCACGUUGCAUUAAUAAUUUUUGAGCGUUAUUUUCGUGUUUUUUUCACUAUGGCGGUUUAUACCCGUUCCGAAAGAGUUUAACUAAUUAAAUGGUCUUAUGGAGGCAAUUCGGCAGUACAAUGUAGAGAUUUGUUUUCAGUGACAUUUGAGAAUAGACCGAUUCCUUGUGCAAAAAUGGUUUUAAAUGUAGUUACAAAUUUUGAGACAUCUUUGUGUCUUCAAUAUUGUAAAAAAUGCCACACAAAACGUCAAGAACCACCUGUUGAAGUCGUCCAGGAUAUAUACCGGUGGGAAGAAAUGGUUUGCAGUACCCUAGAACUUGAUACCCCAGUGUUGGAGAGGAACUGGGAAUGAGCAAUAAAACUAUUGCUCGUAUCUGGAAAAAAUAUGGGUACAAAUGUUUCAAGUAUUUAAAAACUCAGAAAAUAUUUCUUGAAGACCAGUGGCGAAGAAUGGAAUUUUGUGAAACCAUGAUGGAAUAGGCAAAUGAAAAUGAAUAUUUUUUAAAAAAUAUUUUGUUUUCUGAUGAGUCUUCUUUUCCAUUACAUGGCAAACACAAUCCUUCCAUUGUUCGGUAUUGGUACUCUCAGGAAAACGAGCACAGAAGUUUUUAGUUUCGUACCCAGUAUCCUCAGAAAUUGAAUGUUUGGGCAGGUAUUUUGGGCGACAAUGUUAUAGGGCCAUUUUUUAUUGAUGGCACUUUAAACGCCCAAAAGUACCUUGAGUUGCUGCAAAACCAAGUUCUUCCUGCCAUUCAAAUCCUACCUGAUGUAGACCUGGGAUCGCAUCUGGAUUUAAGAUUACAAUUCUAUGCGGGUUUUACACAUUGUCAUGUCUGUAAAACCCGCAUUAGAAUAAAUAUUUUUAAAAUGCCUGGAUUUUCGCGUAAUAUUUUGGGAUAUUUUGUCGCCAAACGACGCAACUCUCACGAAAGUCAGAUGUUUACUAAUCUCGUCCUCGGGCCGGCCGGGGCGGUGCUCUGUCGCAGGCACUCGUACACGCGCGAAGUUGCAAAAUUUCGCCUCUAUGCGGUUUCCUAUAAGUAACGAACGAAAACACGAUCUGUAUGUAUAGUGCAGCCAUGUUGUCAUAAAAGUCAAUAAUUAUAGAUUUAAUAUUUAAUUUAAAUAUAAUAUUUAAUUAAAAUUUUAAUUGUAUGAAAAAUUUUUCGAUUGUAUGUUCCAAUAAAUAAAACACAUUAAAAUUAGGUAUUUUAUUAUAUGGUUUCAAGUAUAUACUUAGUUUUUAAUCAGCUAUACACAUUAUUCAAUAGUUAAAUUUAUCCAGGUACAAAAAUAUGUUUUUCCAGGUAUCUUUUGUUUAUAAUGUGUACAUCAGUGAUUCUUUUUUCUUUUCAUGAUCCAUGUAGCAUAAAUUUUGUCUACGUAUCCAACCAUCAUUACCCAAUAUUUUUUCUUUUUUUCCUUUUGCUCGAUUUUCUGCAGUUUUCCCAAAUGAAAAAUAAAUGAAGUCACAAAUUUAAAUUUUUAUUUUUUAAUAGUUUGUUUUAAAUUUUCAAUAUUAACACAUUUUAGUAUAUAAAUAGCAGAACGAGAUUUUCGCAUAUAGGAUUUUCCAUAAUGCAUAUUCUGGAAAAUGGUGCUAACUCCACGGAUAUCUAUAAAGCUUUAAAUUUCGAACUUUAUUAGAUUUACUUAAUAACAGCAUAAUUGUUUGCCAGGACUCCUAUGUAUUAUACAUUUUUUUUUAUAUGGCCGUUUCAUGUUUCUUCUCGUUUAGACCCACCUAAAGAAAAAAUAUGUUUGUAAAUGGCUAAGAAUUUUUCAUCAGGAUUAUCUGUUUGUUCUUUUAUCUUGCUUUUCUAGAUUUCCGGCGUACCUCUUAAGGCUUGUGCUUUUUCGAAUAAAAUAUAGUAUAGUAUUCGUAAGAGUGAGAUUAUUUACAAUUUCAUUUACAAUUGAUUACAUUUUCGCCACUAUGCAAUCCAGGUAUAAUGCGCAUCUAUUAUUUGCUUUGAGCAUUAAAAAAUCAAUUUACAAAAGCACGUCACUUAUGAAAUGUAGUCAUUAGGAAUAAGAAAUUUUGUAUGCAAGUGAAACUUUGUAACAUGGCUGUAAGCAUCAUAGGCAUGGCUGUACUAUAGGAAUUGUAAAAUAAAUCAUUUUCAAAAAGUCAUAAUAAAGAUUGAAGUAAAUA
RNAcentral lists this long non-coding RNA (2702 nucleotides) under Anthonomus grandis grandis. Its description in RNAcentral is "uncharacterized LOC126739857". The record is from RNAcentral. Lineage: Eukaryota; Metazoa; Arthropoda; Insecta; Coleoptera; Curculionidae.